CCCUUAGACGCUCUAGGCGGCACGCGCGCUACAAUGGGUGGUAGAACGUGUAACUGCUCCCGAAAGGGAGGGUGAACCACGAAUACUUACCCGUGAAUGGGAUAGUUUGUUGCAAUUUUCGGACUUGAACUAGGAAUCCCUUGUAAGAAUGCUCAAGAAUAGCGUGCUGAAUACGUCCCUGCCGUUUGUACACACCGCCCGUCGUUUCUUCCGACUGAUACUCAUCGUGAGUUGCAAGGAUUCUUAUUGAAAAAUUGCUGCGAAUGCUUUGUAUUGGAGGAAGAAAAAGUCGUAACA
RNAcentral lists this ribosomal RNA (297 nucleotides) under uncultured eukaryote. Its description in RNAcentral is "partial 18S ribosomal RNA". It matches the Rfam family "Eukaryotic small subunit ribosomal RNA", at positions 1470 to 1796 of the family's 1831-position model. The record is from RNAcentral.